UGAGUGCGAAAGCGUGGGAGCAAACGGAUAGAUACCCCGGUAGUCCACACGUAAACGAUGUCUACUAGCCGUUGGAGGACUUGAUCCUUUAGUGGCGCAGCUAACGCGAUAAGUAGACCGCCUGGGGAGUACGGUCGCAAGAUUAAAACUCAAAUGAAUUGACGGGGGCCCGCACAAGCGGUGGAGCAUGUGGUUUAAUUCGAAGCAACGCGAAGAACCUUACCUACUCUUGACAUCCAGUGAACUUUUGAGAGAUCAAUUGGUGCCUUCGGGAACACUGAGACAGGUGCUGCAUGGCUGUCGUCAGCUCGUGUUGUGAAAUGUUGGGUUAAGUCCCGUAACGAGCGCAACCCUUGUCCUUAGUUACCAUCAUUAAGUUGAGGACUCUAAGGAGACUGCCGGUGACAAACCGGAGGAAGGCGGGGACGACGUCAAGUCAUCAUGGCCCUUACGAGUAGGGCUACACACGUGCUACAAUGGCAUGUACAAAGGGUUGCCAAGCCGCGAGGUGGAGCUAAUCCCAUAAAGCAUGUCGUAGUCCGGAUUGGAGUCUGCAACUCGACUCCAUGAAGUCGGAAUCGCUAGUAAUCGUGAAUCAGAAUGUCACGGUGAAUACGUUCCCGGGCCUUGUACACACCGCCCGUCACACCAUGGGAGUGGGUUGCUCCAGAAGUAGAUAGCUUAACCUUCGGGAGGGCGUUUACCACGGAGUGAUUCAUGACUGGGGUGAAGUCGUAACAAGGUAGCCGUA
This 751-nucleotide ribosomal RNA is filed under the name uncultured bacterium. Its description in RNAcentral is "bacterial SSU rRNA". It matches the Rfam family "Bacterial small subunit ribosomal RNA", at positions 748 to 1504 of the family's 1533-position model. The record is from RNAcentral.